This 827-nucleotide ribosomal RNA is filed under the name uncultured bacterium. RNAcentral describes it as "bacterial SSU rRNA". It matches the Rfam family "Bacterial small subunit ribosomal RNA", at positions 62 to 902 of the family's 1533-position model. The record is from RNAcentral.
UUGUGAAGGACUUUCGGAGGGAAAACACAAUGACUCAUUGGCGGACGGGUGAGUAACGCGUAGGGAACCUGGCCCUUACAGGGGGAUAACAGAUGGAAACAACUGCUAAUACCGCAUAAGCGCCCAGCCUCGCAUGAGGCAGAGUGAAAAACUAAGGUGGUAAGGGAUGGCCCUGCGUCCGAUUAGCUAGUUGGUAUGGUAACGGCAUACCAAGGCGACGAUCGGUAGCCGGCCUGAGAGGGUGGACGGCCACAUUGGGACUGAGACACGGCCCAAACUCCUACGGGAGGCAGCAGUGGGGGAUAUUGCACAAUGGGGGAAACCCUGAUGCAGCGACACCGCGUGGGUGAAGAAGCGCUUCGGCGUGUAAAGCCCUAUCAGUGGGGAAGAAAAAGGACGGUACCCAAAGAAGAAGCACCGGCUAAAUACGUGCCAGCAGCCGCGGUAAUACGUAUGGUGCAAGCGUUAUCCGGAAUGACUGGGUGUAAAGGGAGCGUAGACGGUUGUACAAGUCUGAUGUGAAAGCCCACGGCUCAACUGUGGGAGUGCAUUGGAAACUGUAGAACUAGAGUAUCGGAGAGGCAAGUGGAAUUCCUAGUGUAGCGGUGAAAUGCGUAGAUAUUAGGAGGAACACCAGUGGCGAAGGCGGCUUGCCGGACGAAAACUGACGUUGAGGCUCGAAAGCGUGGGGAGCAAACAGGAUUAGAUACCCUGGUAGUCCACGCUGUAAACGAUGAAUACUAGGUGUUGGGGCCCGAAGGGCGUCGGUGCCGUCGCAAACGCAGUAAGUAUUCCACCUGGGGAGUACGUUCGCAAGAAUGAAACUC